This is a non-coding RNA of Paramuricea clavata, 484 nucleotides long. Lineage: Eukaryota; Metazoa; Cnidaria; Anthozoa; Malacalcyonacea; Plexauridae. The record is from the annotation of a GenBank genome assembly.
CAUCAAGCAGUAAACUAAAUAAGCAGUUAUUUAGAUCAAAUUACAAUAAUUGAGUUAAAAUCAAACUAGUAAAAGACAAGACCACACUAGCAGUCGUACAAUACCCAAAGUACAUCAAGCGAAAAGAGAACCAGCGAUCACCAUCAAACAGAGAAUGAACUUGGUCGCCAGGAUACCACUUGCGCUGCUGGGGGUAUAAUUGUUGCAAUUAUCGGUCUUACAGCACACACCAACACAAGAUUUCAAACUAUAUUUUACGAUCCUGCGCUCACAUGUUUUUUCAGCAUUAGGACAAUCCACCUUGUCGGUAGGAUCGCUGUUGGCACAAUUUCUAAUAACCCUUACUGUGCCGUCAGCUAUGGUAUAAGUUGCUGAGUAACAGUACCCCGUGGUACAGUUGACUGUUGUAUUUCCGCACAUUUGUUCUGCUUUUGACUGUUUUGAUGUGUAAGCACACCAAUUGCAUGUCAGAGCACUCCCUAAA